GCCUGGGUGGCUCAGUCGGUUAAGUGUCUGACUUCAGCUCAGGUCAUGAUCUCGCGGUCCGUGGGUUCGAGCCCCGCGUCGGGCU
RNAcentral lists this transfer RNA (85 nucleotides) under Felis catus (domestic cat). It matches the Rfam family "tRNA". Rfam says of the family: Transfer RNA (tRNA) molecules are approximately 80 nucleotides in length. Their secondary structure includes four short double-helical elements and three loops (D, anti-codon, and T loops). The record is from Rfam by way of RNAcentral. Lineage: Eukaryota; Metazoa; Chordata; Mammalia; Carnivora; Felidae.